CGGUACGUACUGGCAUUGUUGGUUUCUCCCUUCUGACGAACCAUGAUGUCAUUUAUUUGGUGUUGUGGGGAAUCAGGACUGUUACUUUGAAAAAAUUAGAGUGUUUAAAGCAGGCUCACGCUUGAAUACAUUAGCAUGGAAUAAUGAAAUAGGACGUUUGAUACUAUUUUGUUGGUUUCUAGGAUCGACGUAAUGAUUAAUAGGGAUAGUUGGGGGCAUUAGUAUUCAAUUGUCAGAGGUGAAAUUCUUGGAUUUAUUGAAGACUAACUACUGCGAAAGCAUUUGCCAAGGAUGUUUUCAUUAAUCAAGAACGAAAGUUAGGGGUUCGAAGACGAUCAGAUACCGUCGUAGUCUUAACCAUAAACUAUGCCGACUAGGGAUCGGAUGAUGUUAAUUUUUUAAUGACUCAUUCGGCGCCUUACG
Molecule: ribosomal RNA, 423 nt
Filed under: uncultured Glomeromycotina
Lineage: Eukaryota; Fungi; Glomeromycota
Description: SSU rRNA
Rfam family: Eukaryotic small subunit ribosomal RNA
Source: RNAcentral